Molecule: ribosomal RNA, 459 nt
Filed under: uncultured bacterium
Lineage: Bacteria
Description: partial 16S ribosomal RNA
Rfam family: Bacterial small subunit ribosomal RNA
Source: RNAcentral
CCUACGGGUGGCAGCAGUGAGGAAUAUUGGUCAAUGGUCGGGAGACUGAACCAGCCAAGCCGCGUGAGGGAUGAAGGUACAGAGUAUCGUAAACCUCUUUUGCCAGGGAACAAAGGCGGGGACGCGUCCCCGGAUGAGUGUACCUGAAGAAAAAGCAUCGGCUAACUCCGUGCCGGCAGCCGCGGUAAUCCGGAGGAUGUGAGCGUUAUCCGGAUUUAUUGGGGUUUAAGGGUGGGCUGGCGGUCUGUUAGGUCAGCGGUCAAAGCCCGGGGCUCAACCCCGGUCCGCCGUUGAAGCUGGCAGUCUCGAGUGGGAGAGAGGUAUGCGGAAUGCGCGGUGUAGCGGUGAAAUGCAUAGAUAUCGCGCAGAACACCGGUUGCGAAGGCAGCAUGCCGGCUCCACACUGACGUUGAGGCACGAAAGCGUGGGUAUCGAACAGGAUUAGAUACCCUUGUAGUC